GGGGGGGCCGGCCUUUACUGCUAGUCGAGCGGAGAGAGAGCUUGCUCUUCGAUUCAGCGGCGGACGGGUGAGUAAUACCUAGGAAUCUGCCUGGUAGUGGGGGACAACGUUUCGAAAGGAACGCUAAUACCGCAUACGUCCUACGGGAGAAAGCAGGGGACCUUCGGGCCUUGCGCUAUCAGAUGAGCCUAGGUCGGAUUAGCUAGUUGGUGAGGUAAUGGCUCACCAAGGCUACGAUCCGUAACUGGUCUGAGAGGAUGAUCAGUCACACUGGAACUGAGACACGGUCCAGACUCCUACGGGAGGCAGCAGUGGGGAAUAUUGGACAAUGGGCGAAAGCCUGAUCCAGCCAUGCCGCGUGUGUGAAGAAGGUCUUCGGAUUGUAAAGCACUUUAAGUUGGGAGGAAGGGCAGUAAGCGAAUACCUUGCUGUUUUGACGUUACCGACAGAAUAAGCACCGGCUAACUCUGUGCCAGCAGCCGCGGUAAUACAGAGGGUGCAAGCGUUAAUCGGAAUUACUGGGCGUAAAGCGCGCGUAGGUGGUUCGUUAAGUUGGAUGUGAAAUCCCCGGGCUCAACCUGGGAACUGCAUCCAAAACUGGCGAGCUAGAGUAUGGCAGAGGGUGGUGGAAUUUCCUGUGUAGCGGUGAAAUGCGUAGAUAUAGGAAGGAACACCAGUGGCGAAGGCGACCACCUGGGCUCAUACUGACACUGAGUGCGAAAGCGUGGGGAGCAAACAGGAUUAGAUACCCUGGUAGUCCACGCCGUAAACGAUGUCACUAGCCGUUGGAUGCUGAGAUUGUAGUGGCGCAGCUACGCAUUAAGUGACCGCCUGGGGAGUACGCCGCAGUAAACUCAAAUGAUGGACGGACCGCACAGCGUGGAGCAUUGCUGGUCGAGCAACGGAGACCUUACCUGCCUUGACUCAUGAACUCGAACUGAUUGGGUGUCUCGAACUUGAAACG
RNAcentral lists this ribosomal RNA (964 nucleotides) under Pseudomonas sp. RNAcentral describes it as "bacterial SSU rRNA". It matches the Rfam family "Bacterial small subunit ribosomal RNA", at positions 38 to 1028 of the family's 1533-position model. Lineage: Bacteria; Pseudomonadati; Pseudomonadota; Gammaproteobacteria; Pseudomonadales; Pseudomonadaceae. The record is from RNAcentral.